Anguilla anguilla (European eel) is the source of this 1082-nucleotide long non-coding RNA. RefSeq lists it as uncharacterized. The transcript has 2 exons. The record is from RefSeq and is a predicted model, not a curated record. NCBI's taxonomy places the organism in Eukaryota, Metazoa, Chordata, Actinopteri, Anguilliformes, Anguillidae.
UAUAUAUUGUAUAAUAUAAUUUUGAAAUAAUAUUGCCUUAACCUGUCUGCAAAGACAUCUUUCAGGAUUUGUCAGUAGGGGGUUACGACAGUAAGGUGCUUCUGGUUUGUUACUGUGGUGAUGCGGUAUGAGUUGCUUUACGGCAGGCUGAAGAAAACAAAACAGGAGCGACGCUAGUGAGGAAAAAAGACUACAUUUGGCAGCUGCUAUCAGAGUUAAACGAAUGCGGUAACUUAAUGCUUACAAGUGUUGUAAAGCGAGAACCUUAAAGUAAAAUAUGGUAGCCAAGGUAGUGGGCGUGAAAACUGUGGACCUGACAACACUGCUCCAAACCGAGAAGCCGGGCGAGGAUGAAACCCGUUAGGAACGCCAGUGAAAGGACAAAACUGACCCGGAACGCCUCCGUGAGCUCAGCACAGACUUUGAAAGAGAGUCCAAGCCCAAGGGCUGAGGUGGUAGGAUAUUUAGAGUGAAAUAACGACAUCCUGGCAUUUGGUGUAGAGGUGGAGAGAAAGAAAGCCAUUUCUGAACCAAACCAACUGAAAUCCUGUACAGGGUCUGCAGCAACACAUUUAUUUUUUUGUCCAGUUUUCUUUUGUAUUACCACUUUAAAAUGUCUUUGUGACAGUGUCUGUAAAAAGCGCUAUACAAAUAAAGUUUAAUUGAAUUUUUUGGGACUCUGCAAACGUGUAGCCGAAGGUUUUGUGACCAAAAUAAGACCACCGUGGAGAAAUCUGGAGAAAACCCAAGAAAGUGCAGUCCACCCCGAAGAGGAAAAGUUGCUUUGGUCUGCUAAAGACUUAAAACCAGGACAAAAACUCCUGUUUCAGAAGGACUGUGACCCAGAACACAAGGCCAAAGCCCUGGAGUGGCUUAAUCCUGACUUUGUUCUCGUAGAAAACCUCUGGCAAGACAUGAUUUCUCCAACCAACUUUGCUGACAGUAAUGGGCAAAAAUGGAACCUUCCUGGUGUGUGAAGUUGGUAGUCUUAACCAAAAAAAAAAAAUGCUUCCACCAAGUAUUGACUGGGGGGUAGGGUGGGGGGGGGGUGAAUAUAAUAAAAAUAUUUCAGUAUUGAAUUU